GCAAGUCGAGCGGUAGCACAGGAGAGCUUGCUCUCUGGGUGACGAGCGGCGGACGGGUGAGUAAUGUCUGGGAAACUGCCUGAUGGAGGGGGAUAACUACUGGAAACGGUAGCUAAUACCGCAUAACGUCUUCGGACCAAAGUGGGGGACCUUCGGGCCUCACGCCAUCAGAUGUGCCCAGAUGGGAUUAGCUAGUAGGUGGGGUAAUGGCUCACCUAGGCGACGAUCCCUAGCUGGUCUGAGAGGAUGACCAGCCACACUGGAACUGAGACACGGUCCAGACUCCUACGGGAGGCAGCAGUGGGGAAUAUUGCACAAUGGGCGCAAGCCUGAUGCAGCCAUGCCGCGUGUGUGAAGAAGGCCUUCGGGUUGUAAAGCACUUUCAGCGAGGAGGAAGGGUGGUGUGUUAAUAGCGCAUCACAUUGACGUUACUCGCAGAAGAAGCACCGGCUAACUCCGUGCCAGCAGCCGCGGUAAUACGGAGGGUGCAAGCGUUAAUCGGAAUUACUGGGCGUAAAGCGCACGCAGGCGGUUUGUUAAGUCAGAUGUGAAAUCCCCGCGCUUAACGUGGGAACUGCAUUUGAAACUGGCAAGCUAGAGUCUUGUAGAGGGGGGUAGAAUUCCAGGUGUAGCGGUGAAAUGCGUAGAGAUCUGGAGGAAUACCGGUGGCGAA
RNAcentral lists this ribosomal RNA (673 nucleotides) under uncultured bacterium. RNAcentral's name for it is "bacterial SSU rRNA". It matches the Rfam family "Bacterial small subunit ribosomal RNA", at positions 57 to 719 of the family's 1533-position model. The record is from RNAcentral.